Molecule: long non-coding RNA, 619 nt
Organism: Limulus polyphemus (Atlantic horseshoe crab)
Lineage: Eukaryota; Metazoa; Arthropoda; Merostomata; Xiphosura; Limulidae
Exons: 3
Source: RefSeq, a predicted model, not a curated record
CGAGGGUCUGCAGACAACGUCACACAAAGUUAGCUUGUGCAAACAGCGACGGCUCGUGAGGCACGCUAUUCAUUCUCUAACGAAAUCACAGCUGAGUUGGAAGACUUAAGAUUCUUCUGAAAGACUUAUAUUUAUAACUUCGAAGGUCGAAAGGUUAUGAAGAAACUCAUCGAAUAGCAAAUUCUACGUCAGUUUUUCCAUUCCAAUAUUGUUCGAAAGUGCUUCCAAGUCGGUCGUGAGAAAACCCCUGGAAGUUACCAGGACGUCUACAUCUUGAAGAGACUCUUCAGUUUAUAAGAUCUGUCUGACGGUGGCGUCAUCAUGUGAGAUAAGCACAGUCCCUACUUGGCUGUGGUCUAUUUUAAAUGGCUAGGUAAUCCAUGGACCAUUCACAAAACGGGUCAAAAAGACUGACAAGCGACGUAGGGCAAGCACAACCGCAGGGAGAAAUGGACGCAUUACUACUGGGACGAACAAAGUAACUUGUGGCAGAUACUCUGGAACGUAUAUAGGAGAAACUUGCCGACCCAUCCAUGAUCGAAUAUCUGAACAUGUGCGUGACAUCCAAAACCUCAAUAUUAACAAUGCUAUUGCAAUGAAAGUGUUCCAACUUGUAGGA